GGACUACAGGGGUUUCUAAUCCUGUUCGCUCCCCACGCUUUCGCUCCUCAGCGUCAGUAUCGGCCCAGAGACCCGCCUUCGCCACCGGUGUUCCUCCUGAUAUCUGCGCAUUUCACCGCUACACCAGGAAUUCCAGUCUCCCCUGCCGAACUCAAGUCAGCCCGUAUCGACCGCAAGCCCCCAGUUAAGCCAGAGGUUUUCACGGCCGACGCAACCAACCGCCUACGAGCUCUUUACGCCCAAUAAUUCCGGACAACGCUCGCACCCUACGUAUUACCGCGGCUGCUGGCAC
RNAcentral lists this ribosomal RNA (292 nucleotides) under uncultured bacterium. RNAcentral's name for it is "partial 16S ribosomal RNA". The record is from RNAcentral.